Hibiscus syriacus is the source of this 212-nucleotide long non-coding RNA. RefSeq lists it as uncharacterized. The transcript is spliced from 3 exons. The record is from RefSeq and is a predicted model, not a curated record. NCBI's taxonomy places the organism in Eukaryota, Viridiplantae, Streptophyta, Magnoliopsida, Malvales, Malvaceae.
AAACUGGGAACACCAACUAGAGAAGAAAACAAAUGUAUGAAUCUAAAAUAUACCGAGUUCAAAUUCCCUCAGAUCAAAGCACAUCCAUGGCAUAAGGUUUUUAACCGAAGAAUACCCCCUGAAGCAGUGGAUCUUCUAUCAAGGCUGCUCCAGUAUUCGCCAAACCUACGUUGCACCCCUUUGGAGGCCUGCGCACAUCCCUUCAUCGAUGA